Molecule: ribosomal RNA, 429 nt
Filed under: Acidobacteriota bacterium
Lineage: Bacteria; Pseudomonadati; Acidobacteriota
Description: Acidobacteria bacterium partial 16S ribosomal RNA
Rfam family: Bacterial small subunit ribosomal RNA
Source: RNAcentral
UGGGGAAUUUUGGACAAUGGGGGAAACCCUGAUCCAGCCAUCCCGCGUGUGCGAUGAAGGCCUUCGGGUUGUAAAGCACUUUUGGCAGGAAAGAAACGUCAUGGGUUAAUACCCCGUGAAACUGACGGUACCUGCAGAAUAAGCACCGGCUAACUACGUGCCAGCAGCCGCGGUAAUACGUAGGGUGCAAGCGUUAAUCGGAAUUACUGGGCGUAAAGCGUGCGCAGGCGGUUCGGAAAGAAAGAUGUGAAAUCCCAGAGCUCAACUUUGGAACUACAUUUUUAACUACCGGGCUAGAGUGUGUCAGAGGGAGGUGGAAUUCCGCGUGUAGCAGUGAAAUGCGUAGAUAUGCGGAAGAACACCGAUGGCGAAGGCAGCCUCCUGGGAUAACACUGACGCUCAUGCACGAAAGCGUGGGGAGCAAACAGG